AUUGAACGCUGGCGGCAGGCCUAACACAUGCAAGUCGAGCGGAGCGGCGGACGGGUGAGUAAUGCCUAUGAAUCUGCCCGGUAGUGGGGGAUAACGUCAGGAACCGGGAGCUAAUACCGCAUACUAUCAGAUUGGCCUAGGUCGGAUGAGCUAGUUGGUGGGGUAAAGGCAUACCAAGGCGACGAUCCGUACCUGGUCUGAGAGGAUGAUCAGUCACACGGGGACUGAGACACGGUCCAGACUCCUACGGGAGGCAGCAGUGGGGAAUAUUGGACAAUGGGCGAAAGCCUGAUCCAGCCAUGCCGCGUGUGUGAAGAAGGCCUUCGGAUUGUAAAGCACUUUAAGUUGGGAGGCGUUACCUACAGAAUAAGCACCGGCUAACUACGUGCCAGCAGCCGCGGUAAUUC
Molecule: ribosomal RNA, 407 nt
Filed under: uncultured bacterium
Lineage: Bacteria
Description: partial 16S ribosomal RNA
Rfam family: Bacterial small subunit ribosomal RNA
Source: RNAcentral